RNAcentral lists this ribosomal RNA (493 nucleotides) under uncultured bacterium. RNAcentral's name for it is "partial 16S ribosomal RNA". It matches the Rfam family "Bacterial small subunit ribosomal RNA", at positions 30 to 523 of the family's 1533-position model. The record is from RNAcentral.
AUUGAACGCUGGCGGCAUGCUUUACACAUGCAAGUCGAACGGUAACAGGUUAAGCUGACGAGUGGCGAACGGGUGAGUAAUGCAUCGGAACGUGCCCGAUCGUGGGGGAUAACGCAGCGAAAGCUGCGCUAAUACCGCAUACGAUCUGAGGAUGAAAGCGGGGGACCGUAAGGCCUCGCGCGAUCGGAGCGGCCGAUGUCAGAUUAGGUAGUUGGUGGGGUAAAGGCUCACCAAGCCAACGAUCUGUAGCUGGUCUGAGAGGACGACCAGCCACACUGGGACUGAGACACGGCCCAGACUCCUACGGGAGGCAGCAGUGGGGAAUUUUGGACAAUGGGCGAAAGCCUGGUCCAGCAAUGCCGCGUGCAGGAAGAAGGCCUUCGGGUUGUAAACUGCUUUUGUACGGAGCGAAAAGGCCCUCUCUAAUACAGGGGGUUUAUGACGGUACCGUAAGAAUAAGCACCGGCUAACUACGUGCCAGCCGCCGCGGUAA